UCUCGGCUUAUCACCGGCAGUCCCCCUAGAGUGCCCAACUAAAUGAUGGCAACUAAAGACGAGGGUUGCGCUCGUUGCGGGACUUAACCCAACAUCUCACGACACGAGCUGACGACAGCCAUGCAGCACCUGUCACUCGUCCAGCCGAACUGAAGGGAUCCGUCUCUGGAACCCGCGACGAGGAUGUCAAACGCUGGUAAGGUUCUGCGCGUUACUUCGAAUUAAACCACAUGCUCCACCGCUUGUGCAGGCCCCCGUCAAUUUCUUUGAGUUUUAAUCUUGCGACCGUACUCCCCAGGCGGAAUGCUUAAAGCGUUAGCUGCGCCACUGAGCAGCAAGCUGCCCAACGGCUGGCAUUCAUCGUUUACGGCUGGGACUAC
This 380-nucleotide unclassified non-coding RNA is filed under the name uncultured Alphaproteobacteria bacterium. Its description in RNAcentral is "contains 16S-23S intergenic spacer region". The record is from RNAcentral. Lineage: Bacteria; Pseudomonadati; Pseudomonadota; Alphaproteobacteria.